RNAcentral lists this ribosomal RNA (433 nucleotides) under uncultured bacterium. RNAcentral's name for it is "partial 16S ribosomal RNA". It matches the Rfam family "Bacterial small subunit ribosomal RNA", at positions 29 to 507 of the family's 1533-position model. The record is from RNAcentral.
AACGAACGCUGGCGGCAGGCCUAACACAUGCAAGUCGAGCGAGCAUUUCGGUGCUAGCGGCGGACGGGUGAGUCACGCGUGGGAACGUGCCCUUUUCUGCGGAAUCGUCCUGGGAAACUGGGGGUAAUACCGCAUACGCCCUUUUGGGGCAAGAUUUAUCGUAGAAGGAUCGGCCCGCGUUGGAUUAGGUAGUUGGUGUUGUAAUGGCCCACCAAGCCGACGAUCCAUAGCUGGUUUGAGAGGAAGAUCAGCCACACUGGGACUGAGACACGGCCCAGACUCCUACGGGAGGCAGCAGAGGGGAAUCUUAGACAAUGGGGGCAACCCUGAACGAGCCAGGCCGGGUGAGUGAUGAAGGCGUUAGGGAUGUAAAGCACUUUAAGCUGGGAAGAUAAUGACGGUACCAGAAGAAGAAGCCCCGGCUAACUCCGUG